This 505-nucleotide ribosomal RNA is filed under the name uncultured bacterium. RNAcentral's name for it is "partial 16S ribosomal RNA". It matches the Rfam family "Bacterial small subunit ribosomal RNA", at positions 28 to 507 of the family's 1533-position model. The record is from RNAcentral.
GAUGAACGCUGGCGGCGUGCCUAAUACAUGCAAGUAGAACGCACAGUUUAUACCGUAGCUUGCUACACCAUAGACUGUGAGUUGCGAACGGGUGAGUAACGCGUAGGUAACCUGCCUGGUAGCGGGGGAUAACUAUUGGAAACGAUAGCUAAUACCGCAUAAUAUUGAUUAUUCCAUGAUAAUUGAUUGAAAGAUGCUAUUGCAUCACUACCAGAUGGCCCUGCGUUGUAUUAGCUAGUAGGUGAGGUAACGGCCCACCUAGGCGAAGAUAAAUAGCCGAACUUGAAAGGUGGUCCGCCAAACUGGGAAUGAGGAAAGGCCCAGGAUCCUUCGGGAAGCAACAGGUGGGGAUCUUCGGCAAUGGACGGAAGGCUGGACGGAGAAAGCCGCGUGGGGGAAGGAGGUUUUCGGGUCGGAAAACUCUGGUGAAAAGGGAGAAAGGGUGUGGGAGUGGAAAGUUCACGCUGUGACGGUAUCUUAUCAGAAAGGGACGGCUAACUACGUG